RNAcentral lists this ribosomal RNA (490 nucleotides) under uncultured bacterium. RNAcentral describes it as "partial 16S ribosomal RNA". It matches the Rfam family "Bacterial small subunit ribosomal RNA", at positions 28 to 507 of the family's 1533-position model. The record is from RNAcentral.
GAUGAACGCUAGCUACAGGCUUAACACAUGCAAGUCGCGGGGCAGCAUGGGGGUUGCUUGCACUCCCCGAUGGCGACCGGCGCACGGGUGAGUAACGCGUAUCCAACCUGCCCUUCACCACGGGAUAACCCGGCGAAAGUCGGACUAAUACCGUAUGUUGUCCAUUGACGGCACCCGAUUUGGUCGAAAGGCUUGGGGGUGAGGGAUGGGGAUGCGUCCGAUUAGCCGGACGGCGGGGUAACGGCCCACCGUGGCUACGAUCGGUAGGGGUUCGGAGAAGAAGGUCCCCCACACUGGAACUGAGCCCCGGUCCAGACUCCUACGGGAGGCAGCAGUGAGGAAUAUUGGUCAAUGGGCGUAAGCCUGAACCAGCCAAGUAGCGUGCAGGAUGACGGCCCUAUGGGUUGUAAACUGCUUUUAUGCGGGGAUAAAGUGGCCCACGUGUGGGCUUUUGCAGGUACCGCAUGAAUAAGGACCGGCUAAUUCCGUG